GAGCGCCUACCUACCCUUGUAAUUGAAUUGCCAUAUGCACAUAUAAUACACUAGUUUACAAUACACUAGUUUACAGGUAGUAUAUACAAUGUGGCUUCUAAAAUCUGUAGUGUUAAAGUAUACACAUCAAGCUGGUGGUGGUUGGUAGAGUGAGACUCGUCUGUGGAUGAGUGCUCUGGUCUGCCUCCACAGUUUCUGUGCCUCAGAUUCAUCACAGGCCAGAGCUGAGCAGCUGCUUUCAUUACAGUCUGUGAAGUAUUUGCCACUUACACCUUCUGUCUGUGGACUCAAGGCAACAUAACAUGUGGUUGAUGCACCCUGAGA
Molecule: unclassified non-coding RNA, 324 nt
Filed under: Hevea brasiliensis (rubber tree)
Lineage: Eukaryota; Viridiplantae; Streptophyta; Magnoliopsida; Malpighiales; Euphorbiaceae
Source: RNAcentral